RNAcentral lists this ribosomal RNA (253 nucleotides) under Comamonadaceae bacterium. RNAcentral describes it as "partial 16S ribosomal RNA". It matches the Rfam family "Bacterial small subunit ribosomal RNA", at positions 524 to 776 of the family's 1533-position model. The record is from RNAcentral. Lineage: Bacteria; Pseudomonadati; Pseudomonadota; Betaproteobacteria; Burkholderiales; Comamonadaceae.
UACGUAGGGUGCAAGCGUUAAUCGGAAUUACUGGGCGUAAAGCGUGCGCAGGCGGUUAUAUAAGACAGAUGUGAAAUCCCCGGGCUCAACCUGGGAACUGCAUUUGUGACUGUAUAACUAGAGUACGGCAGAGGGGGAUGGAAUUCCGCGUGUAGCAGUGAAAUGCGUAGAUAUGCGGAGGAACACCGAUGGCGAAGGCAAUCCCCUGGGCCUGUACUGACGCUCAUGCACGAAAGCGUGGGGAGCAAACAGG